This 1335-nucleotide ribosomal RNA is filed under the name uncultured bacterium. Its description in RNAcentral is "bacterial SSU rRNA". It matches the Rfam family "Bacterial small subunit ribosomal RNA", at positions 27 to 1381 of the family's 1533-position model. The record is from RNAcentral.
GAACGAACGCUGGCGGCGCGCCUAAUACAUGCAAGUCGAGCGAGAAGACGUAGCAAUACGUUUGUAAAGCGGCGAACGGGUGAGGAAUACAUGGGUAACCUACCCUCGAGUGGGGAAUAACUAGCCGAAAGGUUAGCUAAUACCGCAUACGACUCCUGGUCUGCGGAUCGGGAGGGAAAGCGAUACCGUGGGUAUCGCGCUCUUGGAUGGGCUCAUGUCCUAUCAGCUUGUUGGUGAGGUAAUGGCUCACCAAGGCUUCGACGGGUAGCUGGUCUGAGAGGACGAUCAGCCACACUGGUACUGACACACGGACCAGAUGCCUACGGGUAGCAGCAGCUAGGAAUAUUGGGCAAUGGGCGAAAGCCUGACCCAGCAACACCGCGUGAAGGACGACGGCCUUCGGGUUGUAAACUUCUUUUCGAGGGAAUGAGAAAGGACAGUACCCUCGGAAUAAGGCCCGGCUAACUACGUGCCAGCAGCCGCGGUAAUACGUAGGGGCCAAGCGUUAUCCGGAUUUACUGGGCGUAAAGCGCAUGUAGGCAGUUGACUAAGUCGGAUGUGAAAGCUCCUGGCUUAACUGGGAGAGGUCAUUCGAAACUAGUCGGCUGGAGGGUGGUAGAGGAGAGCGGAAUUCCAGGUGUAGCGGUGAAAUGCGUAGAUAUCUGGAGGAACACCAGUGGCGAAAGCGGCUCUCUGGACCAUUCCUGACGCUGAGAUGCGAAAGCCAGGGGAGAGAACGGGAUUAGAAACCCCGGUAUUCCUGGCCGUAAACGAUGUCAACUAGGCGUAGGAGGUUAUAAACCCCUUCUGUGCUGUAGCAAACGCGUUAAGUUGACCGCCUGGGGACUACGGCCGCAAGGCUAAAACUCAAAGGAAUUGACGGGUCCCCGCACAAGCAGCGGAGCGUGUGGUUUAAUUCGAGGCUACACGAAGAACCUUACCAGGGUUUGACAUGCUAGUGGUAGUGAAGUGAAAACGGAACGACCCUUCGGGGAGCUAGCACAGGUGCUGCAUGGCUGUCGUCAGCUCGUGUCGUGAGAUGUCAGGUUAAGUCCUGUAACGAGCGCAACCCUCGUCGUUAGUUAUACGUGUCUAACGAGACUGCCCGUGAUAAGCGGGAGGAAGGUGAGGAUGACGUCAAGUCAGCAUGGCCUUUAUAUCCUGGGCUACACACACGCUACAAUGGCCAGUACAAUGGGCAGCCAAGCCGCGAGGCGGAGCCAAUCCCGUAAAGCUGGUCUCAGUUCGGAUUGCAGGCUGCAACUCGCCUGCAUGAAGUCGGAGUUGCUAGUAACCGCGCGUCAGCCAUAGUGCGGUGAAUACGUUCCCGGGGAU